CAAUAGCGUAUAUUAAAGUUGUUGCGGUUAAAAGCUCGUAGUUGGAUUUCUGUCGGUGAGUCGCAGUCCGCUCUCAGUGGUUGGUACUAGCGAUCUGACCGGCAUCUUCCUGGGGACUGUGUCUGCUCUUUACUGAGUGGCGCAUAAUCCAGGACUUUUACUUUGAGGAAAUAGGAGUGUUUCAAGCAGGCAAUCGCCAUGAACAUGUUAGCAUGGAAUAAUAGCAUCGGACCUCGUUCCAAAGCUGUUGGUUUCUUGGAAUGAGGUAAAGGUGAAUAGGGAUUGUUGGGGGCAUUCGUAUUUAACUGUCAGAGGUGAAAUUCUUGGAUUUGUUGAAGACGGACUACUGCGAAAGCAUCUGCCAAAGAUGUUCUCAUUGAUCAAGAACGAAAGUUAGGUGAUCGAAGAUGAUUAGAUACCGU
Molecule: ribosomal RNA, 422 nt
Filed under: uncultured eukaryote
Lineage: Eukaryota
Description: SSU rRNA
Rfam family: Eukaryotic small subunit ribosomal RNA
Source: RNAcentral